This 412-nucleotide unclassified non-coding RNA is filed under the name Hevea brasiliensis (rubber tree). Lineage: Eukaryota; Viridiplantae; Streptophyta; Magnoliopsida; Malpighiales; Euphorbiaceae. The record is from RNAcentral.
UUUCAGGUUCCUGUUAUACAAUUUCUACUCGGACAAGUUGGUCUAGUGACAGGGGACCAAAUGCUAUCAAUUUGGAGAUACGUGGUUGUUGGGGCGGUUGUUGCAGCUGCUGUACUCACACCAUCAACUGAUCCUCUUACCCAGAUGCUUUUAGCAGCACCUCUUCUCGGUCUUUAUUUGGGUGGUGCAUGGAUGGUGAAGCUCACAGGCCGAUGAUAAAGUUUUUAACAUUCGUCAAGCGCAGGAGAUUUACUCUUAGUGGUCAGUGCAUUUAGAGGGCAGAAUGGCCCCUGUAUAGUUGCCCAAAGGUCGUAACAUAUUAGUAAAUUGGAUAUCAGGACGAAUCAUGGAUAUUUAUUCUUGAAAUCUCUAGUUUAAUUUGUAUUUACCUUCCCUCUCUCACAUCCUCUCU